GGAGAGGCGGCCCCGCUCUCCCUGUCCUCGGCCUUCGGGGUGGGGGUUACGGCCCUUCCCAGCCCAUUCCGCUGCUCCGAUGCCGCCCUGCCGGCUGCGCCGCGUACGCCUCCUGGGGUCGCCUCUCUGCGGUCACCCAGGACCCGUCCCAAGGGCUCCGAGCAGCCCAUCGCUGCGGAACUCCUCUCCCCUCAAAACCCCGUCCUUCCGGGCACACAGCAAAUCUCUCUCCUGCUCCCUCCGUUCGGUUUUAGCACCGAUCGGGAGUAUGCUGGUGGGGACGCAACCUAUGGCGACAGACUUCGCUAACUUCUUUUUUUUCGCCCCGCUUUCCUCAAAAAAUUGGUGUUUUCCUCCUCCUUUACUCGGCUGUUGAGUUCGCCUAUCAGGGACAAUAUCACUAGUUCUUCGCUUUCCCCCCUCUCCCACCCCCAGCCCACCCCCUACGCCGUACGGCAAAACUAGGCGAGAAGUGUCAUUUGUCCGAGGUGUAUCACACGCACGUAGUAUCCGACACAUCGAAGACGAAGCAGUCAGACCAAGAGCUUUUAUCUGUCACCAGGACAUCUCUCUGGUGGAAGAGCAGCCCCCGCUGCCAGGUGCCGCACCGGCUGAGCGUGUGCGCCCACGAUCCUUUCGCCAUUCCCCACCCUGUUUCCAGUUUGUUUCUUUCCCACCCUGACUUCUCGCGGAGCCUGGGAAAGCUUCUGCUGUUUAGGUUCUGUCUGUGUCUCAGGCAAGACGUUUUAACACAAAUUUGAGCGGGGCUGGGGCAAAAGAAUUGUUUAGACUGGCGUCAUUUUGACAAGGUCAUCCGUCAUCUUCUGUAUAGAUUGAUAACACCUAAGUUAAAGGCAAACACAAGUAGGGAAAAAAAAAAAAAACCAAAAACAACCCAACAACCCCGAUUGUUACGGCUUACGGAGUCGGCUGUACAACGUUCUCAAUGUCUCUGAUCGACCCCCAGAGCGUAAGACGCGAUGGAUUUUCAGCCGCCUCGCCCCACCUCUGUGCGCUUCGUGAAGCUGCGGCUCCCGGCGGUGGGCUGCGGGGCAGCGGCCGCUGCUUUGCUCCGCGGGGAACCGCGUUGGCGCAGUGCCCUCCUCCUUGGCCACCUCCUGACCGACUUGCUUCUGUUAUGACACCGAAAUAACCAGAAUGCCUAACCCUGGAAAAGAAAGUCAAACAGCAACCUAUAGACCAUCGUAAGACAAAUUUUUCUUCCAGUGCAGCAGGAGCAUCUUCCUAUCAAAAUACACAGCUCUGGGGGGCAAGAUCCAAGAGUCCUGGAUAUUAUUUUGCUGUCACAGCCUAUUGCACAAAGUACACAGCAUGUAUUGCAGUAAUAACUCCCAAUGAAUGAGUGACAUUCUUACAGAGAGGAUGAAGCAAAAGGAUGACAGCUUCAUUUAAAACAUGAGAAAAACUAUAUAGUAGUCUUAUGAACCCCAACUGGUGGUAGCCACAGAACUGAAGCAUUCAGGCUGUUUGUUUUAUGAAUUUCACAGUAGAAACUCAUUCAGUGGAAAGUGGUCCAAAAGUUAAUCAGUUUUCCCUGCCGGUUCCCUUGAGUUUGAUGAAAAGAGUCUUUGGGUCUUUGGUAAGCCCACUGAAAGUCCUGUUUGUAGCAGCUAGAUCAUGAAGUACAGUGUUGUUCUUGGAGCUGACUCUGAGGCUGGGACAUUUAAGAUUUGGGGGUUUAACUGCAUGUUGCAAAAUCUUUUCUUAAUUACCUCCACAGAAGUUUUGCCUUUCUUUUCUUUUAUGCUCUUUUUUUUUUUUUUUCCUGUAUUAAUUACUAGCAGAGAAUUGUUCAGUUACUGUUGCGUGAUGAAGAAGGGGAUACCACAUCACUGUUCUAUUUUGGGCAACUGAGCAAUUUGCUACACCCUCAAUGGCUUCAGAGUUUAUUUUUGUAAGAUUAAAGACAGAGUGCAUAUGGCAAUAAUUCUGAUAUUUCUUCUGGUGGAUGAAUCAUACAACACAGUUGGACACGCUGGGAAAUCACAUUAUGAUGUAUUUUAUCAACAGAAAGGGCCAUACGCAGCAGGUGACAGCAGUUCAUACCCAUGGUGAAAACAGGUUAAUGGAAGCAGAGGACGGUCGAGGCUGGCAGGGAGCUGUGUGUCCACGUGGCCUAAGCCAUGAUGAAGCAGGGACACGCAGAGCAGGGUGCCCAGCAUCACUCCAGGCAGCUUCUGAACACCUCCAGAAGGAGGAGACCCCGCAGCCUCUGGGCAGCCUGUGCCAGGGUUUGAUCACCCCUACAGCACAGAAGUGUUGCCUGGUG
This is a long non-coding RNA of Gallus gallus (chicken), 2290 nucleotides long. Lineage: Eukaryota; Metazoa; Chordata; Aves; Galliformes; Phasianidae. The record is from Ensembl.